RNAcentral lists this long non-coding RNA (304 nucleotides) under Brassica napus (rape). RNAcentral describes it as "long non-coding RNA (BNAP_LNC020215)". Lineage: Eukaryota; Viridiplantae; Streptophyta; Magnoliopsida; Brassicales; Brassicaceae. The record is from RNAcentral.
UUUUCGAACUGCUCAAGUCUCCAAUGAUCAAAACCCAACAAAUCCCAAACUCUAACCGCAAAUUUAAACAACGCAUCAUCUCUGGUACUUAAAAUAAAAAUAAAAUGUCUAAAUCAAAUCUACUGAAUGAGAUAUAAACAUGAACUCUUUUUUUUUUUCUUUUCCUUUUUUUUUCUUCUCUUCUUUUUUUUUUUAGAAUCGACCGAUUACUUGCAAAUGUUUUGUGGUAAUCAAUCGAUUCAUAUCUGGAUUUUUUUUUAUUUCAGAACGAAAACUUAUACAAACCGAAAUCGAAUAUAUACAC